Molecule: ribosomal RNA, 468 nt
Filed under: uncultured bacterium
Lineage: Bacteria
Description: partial 16S ribosomal RNA
Rfam family: Bacterial small subunit ribosomal RNA
Source: RNAcentral
GACGAACGCUGGCGGCGUGCUUAACACAUGCAAGUCGAACGGAAAGGCCCUGCUUUUGUGGGGUGCUCGAGUGGCGAACGGGUGAGUAACACGUGAGUAACCUGCCCUUGACUUUGGGAUAACUUCAGGAAACUGGGGCUAAUACCGGAUAGGAGCUCCUGCUGCAUGGUGGGGGUUGGAAAGUUUCGGCGGUUGGGGAUGGACUCGCGGCUUAUCAGCUUGUUGGCGGGGUAGUGGCUUACCAAGGCUUUGACGGGUAGCCGGCCUGAGAGGGUGACCGGCCACAUUGGGACUGAGAUACGGCCCAGACUCCUACGGGAGGCAGCAGUGGGGAAUAUUGCACAAUGGGCGGAAGCCUGAUGCAGCAACGCCGCGUGCGGGAUGACGGCCUUCGGGUUGUAAACCGCUUUCGCCUGUGACGAAGCGUGGGUGACGGUAAUGGGUAAAGAAGCACCGGCUAACUACGUG